GACGAACGCUGGCGGCGUGCUUAACACAUGCAAGUCGAGCGGUAAGGCCCUUUCGGGGGUACACGAGCGGCGAACGGGUGAGUAACACGUGGGUGACCUGCCCUCAGCUCUGGGAUAAGCCUGGGAAACCGGGUCUAAUACCGGAUAUGACUCCAUGACGCAUGUUGUGGGGUGGAAAGCCUUGUGCGGCUGAGGAUGGGCCCGCGGCCUAUCAGCUUGUUGGUGGGGUGAGGCCUACCAAGGCGACGACGGGUAGCCGGCCUGAGAGGGCGACCGGCCACACUGGGGCUGAGACACGGCCCAGACUCCUACGGGAGGCAGCAGUGGGGAAUCUUGCGCAAUGGGCGAAAGCCUGACGCAGCGACGCCGCGUGAGGGAUGACGGCCUGGUUGUAAC
Molecule: ribosomal RNA, 396 nt
Filed under: uncultured bacterium
Lineage: Bacteria
Description: bacterial SSU rRNA
Rfam family: Bacterial small subunit ribosomal RNA
Source: RNAcentral